Molecule: long non-coding RNA, 722 nt
Filed under: Zostera marina
Lineage: Eukaryota; Viridiplantae; Streptophyta; Magnoliopsida; Alismatales; Zosteraceae
Description: long non-coding RNA (ZMAR_LNC003505)
Source: RNAcentral
GAAUCGAUGUAAUUUUAUAAAAUUAUUAUAAAAUAAUUUUAAAUAAAACAUCAUGAAAAAAGAUGGAUUAAAACAACUUCAAAAAAUAAUGAAUAAAUUAAAUUCAAGUAUGGUUGUAAAUACGAAUGGAUACGAGUAAACCCUUAAUUGAACUCGAAUUUGGAUAUAAACUCAAUAAGGUUGGAAAAAUUUGAUGUUAUGAGAAGACACAACAGAACACAACUCUAAAGAUGUCGGGGAUUGACGUGAGCUUCUAGAGCAGCUACAAUAUAAGGAAUUUGGAUUGAAAGAAAUCAAAUUAAAGAGUGCGCCAAAAUAGGUACAAUCUGAUUGAGCUAAUUUUAUUAUCUUUGUUUUAUCACUUUUUAAUCUAAAAACUGUACUGAUGGGCCUACGUUUGAAAUAGAUGUUUGGACUCGUUUCAAAGUCAGAUUCAAAACCUAAAAUUAUUAUGAGAAGCCCAAACCAUAUCAUUUAGAUGUUGAUAACUAAGUCUAGCGAAGUUACCAAAUAUGUGUUAGGGAGUAUGGAGUGGUGAUAGGGUUUUCUCCAUAGAAAAAUACGAAAGAGCACACUAAAAAUCAGAAAAGAGCACACAAAUUGAAACAAAAUUUCAAUUGACAGAUUUUCUAACUAAGACUCUAGGAGGUAGAGAAAUAACAAAUUCUCACUCUAAGCUUGGAAUACUCAAUAUAUAUUCCAAGGCUUGAGGGGGAGUAAAU